CUGGGAACGCUUGCAGUGCGCGAUGGCGCCCUGGAUGGCGCCCUCCUCGGACGACCCGGCGCUGCUGCUCCGCUUCAGCGCCGGCGUCGCCCCCGCCGCCGACGCCGGCGUCCGGAAGAAGAACCCGUUUGCGUUGCGGCACGACGGCGUGGACGACGAGGAGGACGAGGACGAGGAGGAGCACAGCGGCGAGGUCCCAGGCGCCUUGGUCGCCACGAGGCGCACCCGGCGGAUGAUGCCGGAGAAGGACUUGCGGUGCUGGCACUGGCACACCUCCUCCUGCUCUAGGACGCUCCCCCUCGCGCUGACGCUGCCGAUGCCGUGGCCGCUGGCGCUGGCGCCACCGGCGGCGGCGACGAUGUCGCUCGGCAACGGCGGCCUGGCCAGGAAGAGCGACCGGAUGUACUCCUUCGACGCCCACCGCUUAACCACCUUGAGCUUCUUGGCCCAAGACGGCUUCUUGGCGGC
RNAcentral lists this unclassified non-coding RNA (468 nucleotides) under Zea mays. RNAcentral describes it as "misc RNA Zm00001eb265970". Lineage: Eukaryota; Viridiplantae; Streptophyta; Magnoliopsida; Poales; Poaceae. The record is from RNAcentral.